This 442-nucleotide ribosomal RNA is filed under the name uncultured soil bacterium. Its description in RNAcentral is "bacterial SSU rRNA". It matches the Rfam family "Bacterial small subunit ribosomal RNA", at positions 26 to 476 of the family's 1533-position model. The record is from RNAcentral.
AGAUUGAACGCUGGCGGCAUGCCUAACACAUGCAAGUAGAACGGGAGUAGCAAUACUCUAGUGGCGGACGGGUGAGGAAUACGUAGGAAUUUGCCCUUAAGUGGGGGAUAACCCGGGGAAACCCGGAUUAAUACCGCAUGACCUCGAAAGAGCAAAGUGGGGGAUCGCAAGACCUCACGCUUUUGGAGAAGCCUACGUCGGAUUAGCUAGUUGGUGAGGUAAUGGCUCACCAAGGCGACGAUCCGUAACUGGUCUGAGAGGAUGAUCAGUCACACCGGAACUGAGACACGGUCCGGACUCCGUACGGGAGGCAGCGAGUGGGGAAUAGUUGGAACAAUGGGCGCAAGCCUGAUCCAGCAAUGCCGCGUGUGUGGAAGAAGGCCUUCGGGUGUAAAGCUAACGUUUAAGGUAGGGUAAAGAAAAACUCGCUACUAACAACAGU